ACGGCAGCACGGGGGCAACCCUGGUGGCGAGUGGCGAACGGGUGAGUAAUACAUCGGAACGUGUCCUGUAGUGGGGGAUAGCCCGGCGAAAGCCGGAUUAAUACCGCAUACGCUCUACGGAGGAAAGGGGGGGAUCUUAGGACCUCCCGCUACAGGGGCGGCCGAUGGCAGAUUAGCUAGUUGGUGGGGUAAAGGCCUACCAAGGCGACGAUCUGUAGCUGGUCUGAGAGGACGACCAGCCACACUGGGACUGAGACACGGCCCAGACUCCUACGGGAGGCAGCAGUGGGGAAUUUUGGACAAUGGGGGCAACCCUGAUCCAGCAAUGCCGCGUGUGUGAAGAAGGCCUUCGGGUUGUAAAGCACUUUUGUCCGGAAAGAAAACGCCGUGGUUAAUACCCGUGGCGGAUGACGGUACCGGAAGAAUAAGCACCGGCUAACUACGUGCCAGCAGCCGCGGUAAUACGUAGGGUGCAAGCGUUAAUCGGAAUUACUGGGCGUAAAGCGUGCGCAGGCGGUCCGCUAAGACAGAUGUGAAAUCCCCGGGCUUAACCUGGGAACUGCAUUUGUGACUGGCGGGCUAGAGUAUGGCAGAGGGGGGUAGAAUUCCACGUGUAGCAGUGAAAUGCGU
This 630-nucleotide ribosomal RNA is filed under the name Paraburkholderia fungorum. Its description in RNAcentral is "bacterial SSU rRNA". It matches the Rfam family "Bacterial small subunit ribosomal RNA", at positions 66 to 691 of the family's 1533-position model. The record is from RNAcentral. Lineage: Bacteria; Pseudomonadati; Pseudomonadota; Betaproteobacteria; Burkholderiales; Burkholderiaceae.